CUGCCAGAGUUCUCCAUCACUUUCUCCAGCCUUAUGAGAGUAACUUUCUAACACUGUAUUUCAAUGUCUCCUGGCAGAAUAUUUUCCAUCUGCUUUUUAGAUGUGUGAGUGUGGGAGGGGCAGAGGAGGCUGGGAUGGCGGGGGUGGUGUCAAGGAACAACGCCAAGACAUACUGCUCUCGUUGAAAUGAUCUACUGCUUCCUUUCCGUUUCCACAGGGCUUGGUACACUGCUCUCACUUCUCUUCUGUGAGGCUGCUGUUCUUCACUUCUUCCUGAGAGGACUGAACCAUCCUGAAGGGAUCCUGUCGCUUUCUGAGUGAAUUACUUCUGAUAUCUCACUUGUAAUCUGAAGCAUGGAACCAAGUCUCAUUUCAGGCAAGUUUUACUAAUUGUUUCAAUGGACUAAAUAUAAAUUGCAUGAAAAAAGAAAAGGUUGGGCAGCAAAAACCAAGCCUUUCUACUGAUAUGAAGGCUUAGCCUUCUGCUGGACUUGUUCUCAUAGAUUGCACUCAGGAGUCUGGAUGGUUUUGUGGGUGACUUCUCUUUCCAUUUCAGACAUUUAAACUCCCAUUUGAAUGAGGUUUGGUGUAGUGAGCUAAAGCAGGUCAGACUUAGUGCAUUUGAACAUUUGAACAGUGUAACAGAGUCCCACCUUCCUGUGCCUCUAUGUAAGAGCUGAGGAACAUGUCCCAAGACCUGGAGGUACUCAAUGUCCCCAGACCUGACAAAGGGAAGGUUGGGUCUCUGAUACAGAAAUCACCGAACCGCCUGUUUAAAUGAUGCUAAGCCUCCUCAGUUACCUUGAGACAUUUCAGAGUUAAACUUUAAAUUCAUCUUUUAUAUCUUAUUAAACUUUUUUUUUUUUCAUAGAAGAAGACUGGAUAUUUGAGGUUUAGUUCAACUACUGUAAGCCAGGGACAAUCAAAACCAUAUAUUGUGAUGCUUCUCAAGUUUUCUUCCUAAUUUAUGAAGACUGUGUGGGAGAAGACAACAAUCUGUACUCAGGAGAAAUGCAGUGAAUCAGCCUGUUCCUUAUGGUGAAAUGUUCUUUUAAGCAGCUGCUGUACCUUGUAGAAAUAAAAAAUAACAACAAAAACA
This 1099-nucleotide long non-coding RNA is filed under the name Zonotrichia albicollis (white-throated sparrow). RNAcentral's name for it is "lncRNA (ENSZALG00000010324.1)". Lineage: Eukaryota; Metazoa; Chordata; Aves; Passeriformes; Passerellidae. The record is from RNAcentral.